This 429-nucleotide ribosomal RNA is filed under the name Gemmatimonadota bacterium. Its description in RNAcentral is "Gemmatimonadetes bacterium partial 16S ribosomal RNA". It matches the Rfam family "Bacterial small subunit ribosomal RNA", at positions 355 to 776 of the family's 1533-position model. Lineage: Bacteria; Pseudomonadati; Gemmatimonadota. The record is from RNAcentral.
UAGGGAAUCUUCGGCAAUGGACGAAAGUCUGACCGAGCAACGCCGCGUGAGUGAAGAAGGUUUUCGGAUCGUAAAACUCUGUUGUUAGAGAAGAACAAGGACGUUAGUAACUGAACGUCCCCUGACGGUAUCUAACCAGAAAGCCACGGCUAACUACGUGCCAGCAGCCGCGGUAAUACGUAGGUGGCAAGCGUUGUCCGGAUUUAUUGGGCGUAAAGCGAGCGCAGGCGGUUUCUUAAGUCUGAUGUGAAAGCCCCCGGCUCAACCGGGGAGGGUCAUUGGAAACUGGGAGGCUUGAGUGCGGAAGAGGAGAGUGGAAUUCCAUGGGUAGCGGUGAAAUGCGUAGAUAUAUGGAGGAACACCGGUGGCGAAGGCGGCUCUCUGGUCUGUAACUGACGCUGAGGCUCGAAAGCGUGGGGAGCAAACAGG